Molecule: ribosomal RNA, 253 nt
Filed under: uncultured bacterium
Lineage: Bacteria
Description: partial 16S ribosomal RNA
Rfam family: Bacterial small subunit ribosomal RNA
Source: RNAcentral
UACGUAGGGUGCAAGCGUUGUCCGGAAUUAUUGGGCGUAAAGAGCUCGUAGGCGGUUUGUUGCGUCGGCUGUGAAAUCCCGAGGCUCAACCUCGGGUCUGCAGUCGAUACGAGCAAACUAGAGUGUUGCAGGGGAGACUGGAAUUCCUGGUGUAGCGGUGAAAUGCGCAGAUAUCAGGAGGAACACCGGUGGCGAAGGCGGGUCUCUGGGCAACAACUGACGCUGAGGCACGAAAGCGUGGGUAGCAAACAGG